AUUGAACGCUGGCGGCAUGCUUUACACAUGCAAGUCGAACGGUAACAGGCCGCGAGGUGCUGACGAGUGGCGAACGGGUGAGUAAUGCAUCGGAACGUGCCCAGCCGUGGGGGAUAACUACUCGAAAGAGUAGCUAAUACCGCAUACGAUCUGUGGAUGAAAGCGGGGGACCGUAAGGCCUCGCGCCAUUGGAGCGGCCGAUGUCAGAUUAGGUAGUUGGUGGGGUAAAGGCUCACCAAGCCAACGAUCUGUAGCUGGUCUGAGAGGACGACCAGCCACACUGGGACUGAGACACGGCCCAGACUCCUACGGGAGGCAGCAGUGGGGAAUUUUGGACAAUGGGCGCAAGCCUGAUCCAGGAAUGCCGCGUGCAGGAAGAAGGCCUUCGGGUUGUAAACUGCUUUUGUACGGAACGAAACGGCUCUGGUUAAUACCCGGGGCUAAUGACGGUACCGUAAGAAUAAGCACCGGCUAACUACGUG
RNAcentral lists this ribosomal RNA (482 nucleotides) under uncultured bacterium. Its description in RNAcentral is "partial 16S ribosomal RNA". It matches the Rfam family "Bacterial small subunit ribosomal RNA", at positions 30 to 507 of the family's 1533-position model. The record is from RNAcentral.